Molecule: non-coding RNA, 1319 nt
Organism: Coturnix japonica (Japanese quail)
Lineage: Eukaryota; Metazoa; Chordata; Aves; Galliformes; Phasianidae
Source: the annotation of a RefSeq genome assembly
GUUUCCCUUUCCUGUACUGUUUGCCCCAGGCUACAAGGUCCCUCUGUUGUGCUGCUUUCUCACAGCAACACCUGCUGGCUGUGCAGGGCCCCUCUCUGGGUGGCUGCUAGUGACUCACAUCCUUUCCUCAGGCACAGCCCCUGUCCCUGCCACACAGCUGGGGGCUUUCUCUGGGGCAGAGGCAAGCAGGCACACUGAGAAGAAUGCUGCUGCUGCCAGUUCUGGCCCUGGCUGAAGCCUGCUUGCAUCCAUUCCCCUCCCUGUGGAGGAUCCACUGGGAACAGCAGUGGCAUGGGGCUGUUCCGCAUACAGCUGUGGGCAGCAGGCUGGCAGUGCUUGCUGUGUUUUCUCUUUUUCUGAUAGAUGGACAUGCACAAGUGCUUUUGCAACAACAUCCACCAUCUGUUACCCAAAUGAGAUUCAAAACUGUGAGUAUUCAGUGCAAAGUCGAGGGCAUACAUAACUUCCAGGCUGCCUACAUCCACUGGUAUCGACAACUGCCUGCUGGAGCUCCUGAAAGGCUUCUCUAUGUGACAGCAGUAUCACAAGUUUACUAUGAUUCGGAUUCCUAUAAGAACAAAUAUUUUUCUUAUAAAAGUGAGAAUAAAGUCUGCACUCUCUCAGUUUUUAAUGUACGUGAUGAUGAUGAAGGUACCUACUACUGUGCCUACUGGGUGUCUCACAGAGGGAACAGACUGCAGGCAGCCCUUACAGAAAGCCGGCUGCAGCUUCAGCAGCACACUUUCAUUCAAGGGCCAAAAACCACAGCUGCUUUCCUGCCCCCAUCUCUCAGCCUUCACAUCAUCCCCACAAGCUGAAAUGGGGAAGGAAAUCCAAGAGGAAAGCCAAGACACUUAUGUGGCAGUCACAUUGACAACACGCUGUUCAAUGGGCUGAUGAAAGUUGCUUCUUGGGCAGAUCCAGGGGUGUGAGCAAAGUAGCCGUAGGAAGGGCACAAAUGAACAACCCUACUUUCAGUGUCAGUCCUUAGCAAGAUUUAUGGCUAAGAUUUAAUGUGAUAUAGCAGAUAGAUGGAUAGACAGACAGACAUACAGACAGGCAGAUAGAUGAAUGCAGAAAAAGACAUUAUUAGAUUGUCUAUCUUAGGUCCCCUCUAUAGUGUUACUGAUUGAUUUUGUUUGACAAAGAAUUUACCGCACACAAAUAUACGCUCCAUUGUAGUGAACUGAAGACCUUCCAUUGGAUGAGCCAUGAGUCAUUUCCUCCUCUCAGCCACUGAGGAUUUCUCCAUCUUGAUGGCUUUAUAACACUCGUACCACGACUUCAGUUCAACAGUUCGUUCAUGCAGACAACAUGCU